UCUCUUUUGUUUUUUUUUUGCUCGGGGGCCGUACACUAAGUUUCCGCUUUUGUAACGGCUUAUCGGAAUCGCCUCACUCUGCCUAGUGCAGUUACGCGCCAGCUUUUAUGGCAUGCGUGUGUAUUUGCUUCGUCCUGUGUGCCACGAUGUCAUGAUGACGUGUGUAUACGUGAGUUUCUUGACGACAUUCGAGUUGUUACUUCUGUGGACGACGUGAGGAAUUUUUCUGAAGACAACGAUCGCACAGAUUUUCAAUCGGAACAAGGACUAUCCAGCGCACGCUAUUUUGCGGAAGGAGGGCGAGAAAACCCGUGGAAGCUUCUUUCUGGAAGAUUCCCUACGAUGCAUUUCAGAUUGAUUGCAUGUGGCGUGAUAGGCACUGAGGAUAUCGCCAAGGCCUGCAGCGGACGAAAGCGGAUAGGAAAACCAUGAAGGCGCGAGCCGGAACGGCAACAAACGCGGAAUAAUUGCUUCAAGAGCAGAACGGAGGAAGGCGAAGAAACCAUAAAGAAAAUGAAGAGAGUCGCGACACUGAACGGCAAAUUAAAAUGUCUGAAAAAUAUUUAGAACCUGAUGAACUCAAUACCAAUAAGAAGUCUUUGAACACGAAGUUGUGCUACGGGCGCUCUGUGUUGUCCAAUGCUUUAAGUUCCAAUCUGUGGAAACCUCAGGCCCCGAGGUAACCGCAGGAACUCAAAUUCUCAUGUAACGUCAGGACCUCAAGCUCUGAGGUAAUCCCAGGACCUCAAGGUCUGAGGUAACCUCAGAACCUCAAGCUCUGCGACAAACUCAAGACCUCUGAUGUCCCAUUAUACCUCAAGGCCUCAGACUCUGAGGUAACCUCAGGAAAUAUUUUCAAUAGGGCCUGUAUACUUUUAAACCUAACUCGUCGCUUUUGGGUUCUGGUAACUUCUUGAAACACUAGUUCCUUGUUUAGGUUACUGUGCAAAAGUAACUUUGGGUAACUUCAAGUCCCGUUUGAGCCCCAACAUUCCCACAAGAAGAAAAUUCCAGCAAAUCUCUGUCUUGUAUUGUAUUUCCUACAUGAUUCAACAGAAGAGAUGCUGAUGAUUUGACCAAAACAAUCAGCGAGACAAAGUACAACAUGACAUA
Molecule: long non-coding RNA, 1113 nt
Organism: Ornithodoros turicata
Lineage: Eukaryota; Metazoa; Arthropoda; Arachnida; Ixodida; Argasidae
Exons: 3
Source: RefSeq, a predicted model, not a curated record